Molecule: ribosomal RNA, 1313 nt
Filed under: Mekongiella kingdoni
Lineage: Eukaryota; Metazoa; Arthropoda; Insecta; Orthoptera; Pyrgomorphidae
Description: 16S ribosomal RNA
Rfam family: Archaeal large subunit ribosomal RNA (bases 877-1240)
Source: RNAcentral
UUUUUAUUUUUUUAUUUUAAUUGUUUGUAUUCAAAUUGUUUAAUAGAAAUAACUUUGUUUCUUUUUGUCUAAGUAUUUUUUAAAGAACUGAUUUUAUUAAUUAUAGUGAAUUAGUAAAGUAAUUGGACUAUUAAUUUUGAAUAAAAUUUUAAAAGUACUCUUAUUUUGAGGUACCUUUUGUAUCAGGGUUAAUAAAUAUUUUUGCAUUAAUAUUGCUAGUCUCGAUUUAGAUUGAUUUAUAAUUAAUUUUCCUUUUAUUGUGUCAAGAAUAUUUUAAAUUUAAUUAUAGAAGUGAAAUGUUAUUCGUUUUCUAAAAUAUCUAGUUUUUCAAGAUAAAAUUGAAUUUUUUAUGGUUUAUUGAUUAUUUGCUAUUUUUUGUUUUUAAUUAUAAACUUAUUAAUACUUUAGGGGAUAAGCUCUUAAGUUAUUAUUCUAUAAUUUUAAAAAAAUUAAUAAAAAGUAGGCUUUUAACCAGCUAUCUUUUUGAUUACGUUUUUGUUCAUUUUUUAGAUUUGUGAUUUUAUAAUGUUUUUAGAAUUUUUAUUGAAAUUUUUAAAUUAAUUUUGUAUUUUUUGUUAUAAUGAUUGAAUUAGUAUAUUUAUUUGUUUAUUGUUAUUUUAGUUGAUAAUUUAUUUUAAGGAACUAGGCAAAUUUUCUCUUCGCCUGUUUAUCAAAAACAUGUCUUUUUGAUGAUAAUUUGAAGUCUGACCUGCUCACUGAAUAAUAUUUUAAAUAGCCGCGGUAUUUUGACCGUGCAAAGGUAGCAUAAUCAUUAGUUCUUUAAUUGAGGGCUGGAAUGAAUGGUUUGACGAGAGGGGGACUGUCUCAAUUUUAAUUAAUAAAAUUUAACUUUUAAGUCAAAAGGCUUAAAUUUAACUUUAGGACGAGAAGACCCUAUAGAGCUUUAUAAGUUAAUUAAAGUCAUUUUUUUGUUGAUUUAUUUUGUUUGUUAAUUAAUUUAUUUUGUUGGGGUGACAUGAAGAAUAAUCAAACUUUUUAUUUUAAUGUCAUUUAUUUAUGAAAGGUUGAUCCAUAAUUUGUGAUUAAAAGAUUAAGUUACCUUAGGGAUAACAGCGUAAUUGUUUUUUAGAGUUCAUAUCAACAAAGCAGAUUGCGACCUCGAUGUUGGAUUAAGAAAAGUUUUAGAUGUAUCAGUUUAGAAACUAGGUCUGUUCGACCUUUAAAUUCUUACGUGAUCUGAGUUCAAACCGGCGUAAGCCAGGUUGGUUUCUAUCCAAAGUUUAUUUUUUUGUAUUAGUACGAAAGGACCAUAUAAUUGGAAUAUUUCUUUAUCUAUUGAUUAAUAUUAAUUU